Small nuclear RNA from Pongo abelii (Sumatran orangutan), 105 nucleotides. The record is from Ensembl. NCBI's taxonomy places the organism in Eukaryota, Metazoa, Chordata, Mammalia, Primates, Hominidae.
GUACUUGCUUCAGUGGCACAUAUACUAAAAUCGGAAUGAUACGGAGAAGAUUAGUAUGGCCCCUGUGCAAGGAUGACACAAAUUCGUGAAGCGUUCCAUAAUAAA